UACGUAGGGUGCGAGCGUUAAUCGGAAUUACUGGGCGUAAAGCGUGCGUAGGCGGUUCGUUAUGUCCGAUGUGAAAGCCCCGAGCUCAACUUGGGAAUGGCAUUGGAAACUGGCGGGCUGGAGUGUGGCAGAGGGGGGUGGAAUUCCACGUGUAGCAGUGAAAUGCGUAGAGAUGUGGAGGAACACCGAUGGCGAAGGCAGCCCCCUGGGCCAACACUGACGCUCAGGCACGAAAGCGUGGGGAGCAAACAGG
RNAcentral lists this ribosomal RNA (253 nucleotides) under uncultured bacterium. RNAcentral describes it as "partial 16S ribosomal RNA". It matches the Rfam family "Bacterial small subunit ribosomal RNA", at positions 524 to 776 of the family's 1533-position model. The record is from RNAcentral.